RNAcentral lists this ribosomal RNA (253 nucleotides) under uncultured bacterium. RNAcentral's name for it is "partial 16S ribosomal RNA". It matches the Rfam family "Bacterial small subunit ribosomal RNA", at positions 524 to 776 of the family's 1533-position model. The record is from RNAcentral.
UACGGGAGGGGCAAGCGUUGUUCGGAAUUACUGGGCGUAAAGGGCUCGUAGGCGGCCAACUAAGUCAGACGUGAAAUCCCUCGGCUUAACCGGGGAACUGCAUCUGAUACUGGAUGGCUCGAGUUUGGGAGAGGGAUGCGGAAUUCCUGGUGUAGCGGUGAAAUGCGCAGAUAUCAGGAGGAACACCGGUGGCGAAGGCGGGUCUCUGGGCCGAUACUGACGCUGAGGAGCGAAAGCGUGGGGAGCGAACAGG